GGAUUAGAUACCCUGGUAGUCCACACCGUAAACGAUGGAUACUAGGUGUAGCGGGUAUCGACCCCCGCUGUGCCGAAGCUAACGCAUUAAGUAUCCCGCCUGGGGAGUAUGGUCGCAAGGCUAAAACUCAAAGGAAUUGACGGGGACCCGCACAAGCGGUGGAGGAUGUGGUUUAAUUCGACGCAACGCGAAGAACCUUACCAAGACUUGACAUCCAUGGAAUCUUUAAGAAAUUAGAGAGUGCUCGCAAGAGAACUGUGAGACAGGUGGUGCAUGGCUGUCGUCAGCUCGUGUUG
RNAcentral lists this ribosomal RNA (296 nucleotides) under uncultured bacterium. RNAcentral describes it as "partial 16S ribosomal RNA". It matches the Rfam family "Bacterial small subunit ribosomal RNA", at positions 775 to 1067 of the family's 1533-position model. The record is from RNAcentral.